This 621-nucleotide long non-coding RNA is filed under the name Strongylocentrotus purpuratus (purple sea urchin). RNAcentral describes it as "uncharacterized LOC105444246". The record is from RNAcentral. Lineage: Eukaryota; Metazoa; Echinodermata; Echinoidea; Camarodonta; Strongylocentrotidae.
CGAAUGGUGAUGCAAAUCUAUUUGAGAGUGAAAGAUGUGUUCGUCAGAAGGUUACUAAUGGAUGGAGAAAACUACCAUGUACAUCCUACCUCGGGUUCGCAUGUGAAAAACCUCCGAGUCCACGCCCGAUCCUUCCCAUACGCAUAAUAGCAGCUACUUCAUCCCCCUACAGAGGAGGUCUGCUGGAUGGGUCAUUUAUCUGUCUACUCGGCUCAGAGAAUGAAGAGAUUCUCAUAUUCUCAACCAGAAGACUCGUCCGUCUGACCGAGGCUAUAACUCCCGAUAGUUACACAGCUCCAGGAGACAGCAAUGAUGUAUCAUCUGUAGCACUAAGGCAGACUCUUCCAGCUACUAUGGAGGGCUUAGGCUUUUUCGAAUGUUCUUCAGUGACAGCCAGUAGAAUGACAUCUGUUCCUCUUGCCAUUCUUCUUUCUACCCGUGAAUUGCAACCCAUUGAUGGUCGGUUUACAAAGACAGUACACGUUGGAGAUAAUAUCACACUCAGUGUGAUGAUCACGACAGGGAUGCUAGGAGAAGACGCGAUAAGAUGGCGGAAAUUCACUGAUGUAGAUUGGGCUGAUUCUCUCAUUGGAAUGAGUUCUGACAGUCUAUCACAUACAA